GGAUGUGAGGGCGAUCUGGCUGCGACAUCUGUCACCCCAUUGAUCGCCAGGGUUGAUUCGGCUGAUCUGGCUGGCUAGGCGGGUGUCCCCCUCCUCCCUCACCGAUCCAUGUGCGUCCCUCCCGAAGCUGCGCGCUCGGUCGAAGAGGACGACCUUCCCCCCCGAGGAGAGGACCGGUCUUCGGUCAAGGGUAUACGAGUAGCUGCGCUCCCCUGCUAGAACCUCCAAACAAGCUCUCAAGGUCCAAAGUCACCCAGCUAGAAAUUGGAAAAGCCAGGGAUCAAAUAUAGGUCAGCUGGACCCUAAAGCACAUACUCCUUACCUCCACUUAUGAAACAUGAAGU
This 344-nucleotide small nuclear RNA is filed under the name Myotis davidii. RNAcentral's name for it is "7SK RNA". The stretch from base 1 to 304 matches the Rfam family "7SK RNA". From Rfam's summary of the family: 7SK was discovered as an abundant small nuclear RNA in the mid-70s but a possible function has only recently been suggested. Two independent studies have found that 7SK RNA binds the CDK9/cyclin T complex (known as elongation factor P-TEFb). P-TEFb activates transcription by phosphorylating the C-terminal domain of RNA polymerase II. Lineage: Eukaryota; Metazoa; Chordata; Mammalia; Chiroptera; Vespertilionidae. The record is from Rfam by way of RNAcentral.